Molecule: long non-coding RNA, 721 nt
Organism: Hemibagrus wyckioides
Lineage: Eukaryota; Metazoa; Chordata; Actinopteri; Siluriformes; Bagridae
Exons: 3
Source: RefSeq, a predicted model, not a curated record
GCAUGUUUUUGGGAGGUACAUGGACAACCAUAUGUACACAGAGAAAAACACACACUCUUCACUUAUGUGUGGUUUUACAGCACAACCUCUUUGUCACUGUUUUCUCCUCCCAUUCUCAUAAAGCUACAGACACCGCUUUCAGUAUUUCUCCUUUUUUAUUUAUAAAGUGAAUAUUUCUGCACCACGGAGUUCUCCACACACCUAGGUCCCGUGAAGGUUCCUGUGUUGUACAAUCAUAUUUUUACUUUGUGCUCAGAGAGGUUUGUUUUUGUGUUUCACAUCAUGUACUGCUCAGAGAACUUGUAUUCAGAUCAGGACACCAAAAUCAUCCGCCUGUCCAUCUUCCUCAUCGCCGGUGUGUGUGCAGGUUUUCCAGCUCUUAUUUGGGCUCUCAGUGUACUGUACCGCCAUUAUAAAAGCGGAAGUCGAACCUCAGCCUUCAUCAUCUAUCUCCUCUACAGUGACCUGCUGGAACUGAUUCUGAAUCCACUCCUUGUAACAUACAUUUUCAAUAAGGACUUUAUUCCAUGUGAAAUCAUUUCUGAUCUUUUGUUUAUAGGCAGACUGUAUGGACAAUUGCUUCACCAGAUAGUGGCCUUAGAAAGUAUUUGCCAAAGAUAUCCAUUAAUUUCUGAUGUUUUCACUCCUCCCUGCUCUAUCAUCUUCUGUAUCAUUUUUCGUCUAGCUUCUGGUUGUCAUUUCAUACAUACACGGAUCACUU